ACGUAGGGGGCUAGCGUUAUCCGGAAUUACUGGGCGUAAAGGGUGCGUAGGUGGCCAACAAGUCAGAGGUGAAAGGCUACGGCUCAACCGUAGUAAGCCUUUGAAACUGUAGGGCUUGAGUGCAGGAGAGGAAAGUAGAAUUCCCAGUGUAGCGGUGAAAUGCGUAGAUAUUGGGAGGAAUACCAGUUGCGAAGGCGGCUUUCUGGACUGUAACUGACACUGAGGCACGAAAGCGUGGGGAGCGAACAG
RNAcentral lists this ribosomal RNA (249 nucleotides) under uncultured prokaryote. Its description in RNAcentral is "partial 16S ribosomal RNA". It matches the Rfam family "Bacterial small subunit ribosomal RNA", at positions 525 to 775 of the family's 1533-position model. The record is from RNAcentral.